This 21-nucleotide non-coding RNA is filed under the name Arabidopsis thaliana (thale cress). Lineage: Eukaryota; Viridiplantae; Streptophyta; Magnoliopsida; Brassicales; Brassicaceae. The record is from RNAcentral.
CUGAGCCGUUUCCAGGGUGGG